RNAcentral lists this ribosomal RNA (447 nucleotides) under uncultured bacterium. Its description in RNAcentral is "bacterial SSU rRNA". It matches the Rfam family "Bacterial small subunit ribosomal RNA", at positions 330 to 794 of the family's 1533-position model. The record is from RNAcentral.
UCCAGACUCCUACGGGAGGCAGCAGUGGGGAAUAUUGCACAAUGGGGGAAACCCUGAUGCAGCGACGCCGCGUGAGUGAAGAAGUAUUUCGGUAUGUAAAGCUCUAUCAGCAGGGAAGAAAAUGACGGUACCUGACUAAGAAGCCCCGGCUAACUACGUGCCAGCAGCCGCGGUAAUACGUAGGGGGCAAGCGUUAUCCGGAUUUACUGGGUGUAAAGGGAGCGUAGACGGCAUGGCAAGUCAGAUGUGAAAGCCCGGGGCUCAACCCCGGGACUGCAUUUGAACCUGUCAGGCUGGAGUGCAGGAGAGGUAAGUGGAAUUCCUAGCGUAGCGGUGAAAUGCGUAGAUAUUAGGAGGAACACCAGUGGCGAAGGCGGCUUACUGGACUGUAACUGACGUUGAGGCUCGAAAGCGUGGGGAGCAAACAGGAUUAGAUACCCUGGUAGC